CACGUAGGGACCAAGCGUUGUCCGGAUUCAUUGGGCGUAAAGAGCUCGUAGGCGGUUCGAUAAGUCGGGUGUGAAACCUCCAGGCUCAACCUGGAGACGCCACCCGAUACUGUCGUGACUAGAGUCCAGUAGGGGAGCGUGGAAUUCCUGGUGUAGCGGUGAAAUGCGCAGAUAUCAGGAGGAACACCGGUGGCGAAGGCGGCUCACUGGCCCGGUACUGACGCUGAGAUACGAAAGCGUGGGGAGCAAACAGG
RNAcentral lists this ribosomal RNA (254 nucleotides) under uncultured bacterium. RNAcentral's name for it is "partial 16S ribosomal RNA". It matches the Rfam family "Bacterial small subunit ribosomal RNA", at positions 524 to 776 of the family's 1533-position model. The record is from RNAcentral.